RNAcentral lists this ribosomal RNA (471 nucleotides) under uncultured organism. RNAcentral describes it as "partial 16S ribosomal RNA". It matches the Rfam family "Bacterial small subunit ribosomal RNA", at positions 335 to 797 of the family's 1533-position model. The record is from RNAcentral.
ACUCCUGCGGGAGGCAGCAGUGGGGAAUUUUGGACAAUGGGCGAAAGCCUGAUCCAGCAAUGCCGCGUGAGUGAAGAAGGCCUUCGGGUUGUAAAGCUCUUUUGUCAGGGAAGAAACGGUGAGAGCUAAUAUCUUUUGCUAAUGACGGUACCUGAAGAAUAAGCACCGGCUAACUACGUGCCAGCAGCCGCGGUAAUACGUAGGGUGCAAGCGUUAAUCGGAAUUACUGGGCGUAAAGCGUGCGCAGGCGGUUUUGUAAGUCUGAUGUGAAAUCCCCGGGCUCAACCUGGGAAUUGCAUUGGAGACUGCAAGGCUAGAAUCUGGCAGAGGGGGGUAGAAUUCCACGUGUAGCAGUGAAAUGCGUAGAUAUGUGGAGGAACACCGAUGGCGAAGGCAGCCCCCUGGGUCAAGAUUGACGCUCAUGCACGAAAGCGUGGGGAGCAAACAGGAUUAGAUACCCGAGUAGUCCCA